Non-coding RNA from Leptonychotes weddellii (Weddell seal), 552 nucleotides. Lineage: Eukaryota; Metazoa; Chordata; Mammalia; Carnivora; Phocidae. The record is from RefSeq and is a predicted model, not a curated record.
GUUGUGCCCUUAUGUCUGAAUUGCAGGUGUCCUGUGGUCUGAAGCCAUCUUCCUUGAGGCAAGGCCCCAGAGGAAGACCAAGAGCGUCGAUGCCCUGAAGAAGUGUGAGCAUGACCCCCAUGUCCUCCUGGCUGUGGCCAAGCUGUUCUGGAGUGAGCGGAAGAUCACCAAGGCCAGGGAGUGGUUCCACCGCACGGUCAAGAUUGACUCAGACCUGGGGGACGCCUGGGCCUUCUUCUACAAGUUUGAGCUGCAGCAUGGCACAGAGGAGCAGCGGGAGGAGGUGAGGAGGCGCUGUGAGAACGCCGAGCCCCGGCACGGGGAGCUGUGGUGUGCUGUGUCCAAGGACAUCGCCAACUGGCAGAGGAAGAUUGGGGAGAUCCUUGUGCUGGUGGCGGCCCAUAUCAAGAACACCUUCUGAUCGUCCAGUCCGUGCAGGGCGCGGCCCUUGGGGCAGCACGUGGAGGAGUGCGUGAUAGCAAGGAGCGGGGUGGAAGGGGUCCUGAGUUGUCUAGCCUGCUCUUUAAUUAAAAGUUUUCCAGGUCGUGUGUC